RNAcentral lists this ribosomal RNA (1555 nucleotides) under Streptococcus salivarius. Its description in RNAcentral is "bacterial SSU rRNA". It matches the Rfam family "Bacterial small subunit ribosomal RNA". Lineage: Bacteria; Bacillati; Bacillota; Bacilli; Lactobacillales; Streptococcaceae. The record is from RNAcentral.
UUAAUGAGAGUUUGAUCCUGGCUCAGGACGAACGCUGGCGGCGUGCCUAAUACAUGCAAGUAGAACGCUGAAGAGAGGAGCUUGCUCUUCUUGGAUGAGUUGCGAACGGGUGAGUAACGCGUAGGUAACCUGCCUUGUAGCGGGGGAUAACUAUUGGAAACGAUAGCUAAUACCGCAUAACAAUGGAUGACACAUGUCAUUUAUUUGAAAGGGGCAAUUGCUCCACUACAAGAUGGACCUGCGUUGUAUUAGCUAGUAGGUGAGGUAACGGCUCACCUAGGCGACGAUACAUAGCCGACCUGAGAGGGUGAUCGGCCACACUGGGACUGAGACACGGCCCAGACUCCUACGGGAGGCAGCAGUAGGGAAUCUUCGGCAAUGGGGGCAACCCUGACCGAGCAACGCCGCGUGAGUGAAGAAGGUUUUCGGAUCGUAAAGCUCUGUUGUAAGUCAAGAACGAGUGUGAGAGUGGAAAGUUCACACUGUGACGGUAGCUUACCAGAAAGGGACGGCUAACUACGUGCCAGCAGCCGCGGUAAUACGUAGGUCCCGAGCGUUGUCCGGAUUUAUUGGGCGUAAAGCGAGCGCAGGCGGUUUGAUAAGUCUGAAGUUAAAGGCUGUGGCUCAACCAUAGUUUGCUUUGGAAACUGUCAAACUUGAGUGCAGAAGGGGAGAGUGGAAUUCCAUGUGUAGCGGUGAAAUGCGUAGAUAUAUGGAGGAACACCGGUGGCGAAAGCGGCUCUCUGGUCUGUAACUGACGCUGAGGCUCGAAAGCGUGGGGAGCGAACAGGAUUAGAUACCCUGGUAGUCCACGCCGUAAACGAUGAGUGCUAGGUGUUGGAUCCUUUCCGGGAUUCAGUGCCGCAGCUAACGCAUUAAGCACUCCGCCUGGGGAGUACGACCGCAAGGUUGAAACUCAAAGGAAUUGACGGGGGCCCGCACAAGCGGUGGAGCAUGUGGUUUAAUUCGAAGCAACGCGAAGAACCUUACCAGGUCUUGACAUCCCGAUGCUAUUUCUAGAGAUAGAAAGUUACUUCGGUACAUCGGUGACAGGUGGUGCAUGGUUGUCGUCAGCUCGUGUCGUGAGAUGUUGGGUUAAGUCCCGCAACGAGCGCAACCCCUAUUGUUAGUUGCCAUCAUUCAGUUGGGCACUCUAGCGAGACUGCCGGUAAUAAACCGGAGGAAGGUGGGGAUGACGUCAAAUCAUCAUGCCCCUUAUGACCUGGGCUACACACGUGCUACAAUGGUUGGUACAACGAGUUGCAAGUCGGUGACGGCAAGCUAAUCUCUUAAAGCCAAUCUCAGUUCGGAUUGUAGGCUGCAACUCGCCUACAUGAAGUCGGAAUCGCUAGUAAUCGCGGAUCAGCACGCCGCGGUGAAUACGUUCCCGGGCCUUGUACACACCGCCCGUCACACCACGAGAGUUUGUAACACCCGAAGUCGGUGAGGUAACCUUUUGGAGCCAGCCGCCUAAGGUGGGAUAGAUGAUUGGGGUGAAGUCGUAACAAGGUAGCCGUAUCGGAAGGUGCGGCUGGAUCACCUCCUUUCUAAGGAA